Molecule: ribosomal RNA, 369 nt
Filed under: uncultured bacterium
Lineage: Bacteria
Description: bacterial SSU rRNA
Rfam family: Bacterial small subunit ribosomal RNA
Source: RNAcentral
ACUCCUACGGGAGGCAGCAGUCGGGAAUUUUGGGCAAUGGGCGAAAGCCUGACCCAGCAACGCCGCGUGAAGGAUGAAAUCCCUCGGGAUGUAAACUUCGCAAGAACGGGAAGAAUAAGUAGGGGACAAUACCCCCUAUGAUGACGGUACCGUUUGUAAGCUCCGGCUAACUCCGUGCCAGCAGCCGCGGUAAUACGGGGGGAGCAAGCGUUGUUCGGAUUUACUGGGCGUAAAGGGCGCGUAGGCGGCCAGCGCAAGUCAGUUGUGAAAUCUCCGAGCUUAACCCGGAAAGGUCAACUGAUACUGCGCGGCUAGAGUGCGGAAGGGGCAACUGGAAUUCUUGGUGUAGCGGUGAAAUGCGUAGAGAUC